RNAcentral lists this ribosomal RNA (543 nucleotides) under Exophiala xenobiotica. RNAcentral describes it as "partial 18S ribosomal RNA". The stretch from base 82 to 415 matches the Rfam family "Group I catalytic intron". From Rfam's summary of the family: Group I catalytic introns are large self-splicing ribozymes. They catalyse their own excision from mRNA, tRNA and rRNA precursors in a wide range of organisms. The record is from RNAcentral. Lineage: Eukaryota; Fungi; Ascomycota; Eurotiomycetes; Chaetothyriales; Herpotrichiellaceae.
UUUCGCGAUCCUUCUCACAGGUGACGCCUCGGAAGCCUUAGCAGCCCGAAAGGGUGAGCAACCGCGACUUGGAAAUAAAUAAUGAGUCGCUCUGAAAUGCUAGUCAGUCAGGUAAUGGGUGGGACGAUUACUUUUGGCUGGCUACACCGUCAAAUUGCGGGGAUCUCCUAAAGACUCUUGACACCAAGCAGGCCUGGGAAACCAGUCUGUGGCCGGGGUAAUGACCUAGGGUAUGGUAACAGCGCAAGAGUAUGUCCGCCUAAUCUUUAGGCGGUAAAUGGACAAUCCGCAGCCAAGUCCUUAGCCCUUUACUUAGGGUAUGGAUGCUGUUCACAGGCCAAAUGGUGGUGGGUGGACAUCCCUAUUUAGGGGUGGUCUGCUUAAGAUAUGGUCGGGCCCCUAGGGAAACCUAGGGGGUAGUCACCGCACGGUCAGUUAGAGACCAUAGGCGUUCGUGAAGCCUAUCGUCAUAUGCGACCGGUGCCUCAAAACUUCGUAACAAGACUAAACUGUUCCGUAGGUGAACCUGCGGAAGGAUCAUUA